UACGAAGGGGGCUAGCGUUGCUCGGAAUCACUGGGCGUAAAGGGUGCGUAGGCGGGUCUUUAAGUCAGGGGUGAAAUCCUGGAGCUCAACUCCAGAACUGCCUUUGAUACUGAAGAUCUUGAGUUCGGGAGAGGUGAGUGGAACUGCGAGUGUAGAGGUGAAAUUCGUAGAUAUUCGCAAGAACACCAGUGGCGAAGGCGGAUCACUGGCCCGAUACUGACGCUGAGGCACGAAAGCGUGGGGAGCAAACAGG
RNAcentral lists this ribosomal RNA (253 nucleotides) under uncultured bacterium. RNAcentral's name for it is "partial 16S ribosomal RNA". It matches the Rfam family "Bacterial small subunit ribosomal RNA", at positions 524 to 776 of the family's 1533-position model. The record is from RNAcentral.